Mycena polygramma is the source of this 100-nucleotide non-coding RNA. NCBI's taxonomy places the organism in Eukaryota, Fungi, Basidiomycota, Agaricomycetes, Agaricales, Mycenaceae. The record is from the annotation of a GenBank genome assembly.
GGUCCAGUGGCGUAGCGGUUGACGCGCUAUCGAAAGUGUUAUACUUCUCCUCACGCCAAUGUUUACGAUGGAGACCCUUGUUCGAACCAAGGCUGGACCA